CGUUGUAUGGCCGAACUGGUGAAGGCAUCGCCGAUGACAGGCGAAGAUACGGGUUCGAGUCCCGCUGGAAUGG
Transfer RNA from Operophtera brumata (winter moth), 73 nucleotides. It matches the Rfam family "tRNA". From Rfam's summary of the family: Transfer RNA (tRNA) molecules are approximately 80 nucleotides in length. The record is from Rfam. Lineage: Eukaryota; Metazoa; Arthropoda; Insecta; Lepidoptera; Geometridae.